Long non-coding RNA from Trachemys scripta elegans, 1659 nucleotides. RefSeq lists it as uncharacterized. Lineage: Eukaryota; Metazoa; Chordata; Testudines; Emydidae. The transcript is spliced from 2 exons. The record is from RefSeq and is a predicted model, not a curated record.
AUCUCAAGUCAACCAGGUCAUUUUACAUAGGCCAUUAUGAUAGUGUGUCCACCCCACACAGGACUGGAAGGGGUUAAGAUGGCCAGUCAGGCCAAUUAAUUCCACAGGCUGCACCUGGAGGAGAAGUCAGGGAAUUGAUUGGAAGCAGACUCAGCUGGAGGGGCCUAAAUAAGCCAGGAAGUUGGCAACAGAAGGGGCUGGAGGGAAGGAGUAUCUAGUCACUCCCUGGGAGAAGGGAGGUUUGUAUGGGGCAGGAGGCACAAAGCCUGCUCUUACUCCCUGGGAGGGGAGGGAGAGUGGCUUAGCAAGCUCAGAGAAAGGGGAGAGCCAGAGAGUUAGACAAGACUGAGGGGGAAAGCAGCAAGGUAUGGGGCAAGUCAAACCUUGGUUGCCAAUGUCCUGAAGCAGGGCUUAUGUCCCUCUAGCAGCCACUGACAAAGUGACACCGGCAGGGCAGUAAGUAGGAAGACUGCCUCAGCCUGUUUGUGAAGAGAGACUUUCCUACCCUGGAAAGGGGAACGCUGGAGUGACCUGACUGGAGGGCUAAGUCACAAAGAGGAAGCUGCAGUUCCUAAAGCAAGAGGGGUUCAGCAGACAGAGAGGACGAUGGAAGACACACCACAAGGGGAGAGUGCAAUGCCUGGCCAGAGCUAAACCCCAGGGACUGCCAGGAAAAGAUGCCACAAGCGGUGAAUGAACCCGGGACAGCUUCUGGGUGUUUGACUUUUGGUGUCAUCCAAUGGAGACUGAACUGAAACUAGUGAUAGGGGCUGCGUUUACAGAUCUGACUCAUCCAAAAUGCCCACUGAUUUAAAUGGGAGUUAUGCAUGAGUAAAGUCUUCAGGAUGGGGCUCCUAGAAGUGGAAGAGGAAUCCUUUAAAGAAUGAGAGAGAGCAAGACCUGGGAUUUAUGGUCCAAGUUUCCUCCCAGGCUGAUUUUUGUAAUUGGGUGAAUAAAACCUGAAUAGAUUCAUAAAUGCAUAGAUUUUAAGGCUAGCAGGGGAUCUUUAUGUUCAUCUAGUCUAAUCCCCUGCAUCGCACACAUGAGUGUUUCACCCAGUAAUUCCUGCAACAAUUUUGAUUGAGCUAGAACAUGUCUUUUGGAAGACUGUCAAUCUUGAUUUAAAGAUCUCAAGCGAUGGAGAAUCUACUACACAUGUCCCUAGAUAGUUUUACAUCCGUCUAGCCAGCCCAGUCGUGAUGAACCAUUCAAUUGUUGAUGGACUAUUGAAGCUUGAUGGGCCAUUAAGACAAAUCAGGUCUCCAUAUAUCUCUUCCUGCAGAUGCUUCAGACAGCAAGGAGCCACCCUUGUGAUUCAGCAACACAUGUAAGGAUGUAUGAUAUGGACAUGUGACCUUGGACUCCAUCUUUGUCAGUAACUUUCCAUACACAGGGGCUGAGGGCUUCGUUUGGGAGAGUAAAUUUCCAUGCACAUGGCAAAAGAUAUAAAAGACACCUGAGACAUCUCCAUGUUGCCUCAUUCCUGCUCCAAUUCUCUGAACUGUGGAUUUACAACUAAAAGAAGUAUUUUGAACUAUGGACUGAGGACUUUUGCAAGCCAGCUGUCUAUUCCAUCACAGCUAUGAUCUUGACCUAUGAACACUGAAAGUCACUUGUAUGUAUAUGAUACUUUAACCAUUCAAUAAAUCUCUUUUUUUU